RNAcentral lists this ribosomal RNA (387 nucleotides) under uncultured bacterium. RNAcentral's name for it is "bacterial SSU rRNA". It matches the Rfam family "Bacterial small subunit ribosomal RNA", at positions 126 to 507 of the family's 1533-position model. The record is from RNAcentral.
CUGCCUGAUGAGGGGGAUAACUACUGGAAACGGUAGCUAAUACCGCAUAACGUCGCAAGACCCAAAGAGGGGGGACCUUCGGGCCUCUUGCCAUCGGAUGUGCCCAGAUGGGAUUAGCUUGUUGGUGGGGUAACGGCUCACCAAGGCAACGAUCCCUAGCUGGUCUGAGAGGAUGACCAGCCACACUGGAACUGAGACACGGUCCAGACUCCUACGGGAGGCAGCAGUGGGGAAUAUUGCACAAUGGGCGCAAGCCUGAUGCAGCCAUGCCGCGUGUAUGAAGAAGGCCUUCGGGUUGUAAAGUACUUUCAGCGGGGAGGAAGGGAGUAAAGUUAAUACCUUUGCUCAUUGACGUUACCCGCAGAAGAAGCACCGGCUAACUCCGUG